Molecule: long non-coding RNA, 313 nt
Filed under: Physcomitrium patens
Lineage: Eukaryota; Viridiplantae; Streptophyta; Bryopsida; Funariales; Funariaceae
Description: long non-coding RNA (PPAT_LNC006066)
Source: RNAcentral
CUUCUGUUGGUCUUUUGUAAGAGAUGAUGUGAGAAAAGUUGGCUUCAUCCAAAUUAGUAGCAAUCAUGUCAAAAGCCUUCUUAUCACGUCUUGCAAAGUCCUUCUUCUCAUUAGCAUUAGCAUACAUGCUUGGAGGCUCUUCAAUUUCAUCUAUAAUGUUCCAAAGGUCAAAAGAUACCAACAAAAGUUCCAUUUUUAUCUUCUAAUGGUAGAAAUUGUCACCUUCUAACUUUUCAAUCACUCUCAAACCUUCACCCUCACUAGAAGCCAUGUCUAAGAACAAGUCUAUCAAAAAAUAUCAAAAAAAGGAAUC